Molecule: ribosomal RNA, 253 nt
Filed under: uncultured bacterium
Lineage: Bacteria
Description: partial 16S ribosomal RNA
Rfam family: Bacterial small subunit ribosomal RNA
Source: RNAcentral
UACGUAGGGUGCAAGCGUUGUCCGGAAUUAUUGGGCGUAAAGAGCUCGUAGGCGGUUUGUUGCGUCGGCUGUGAAAUCCCGAGGCUCAACCUCGGGUCUGCAGUCGAUACGAGCAAACUAGAGUGUUGCAGGGGAGACUGGAAUUCCUGGUGUAGCGGUGAAAUGCGCAGAUAUCAGGAGGAACACCGGUGGCGAAGGCGGGUCACUGGACUGGUACUGACGCUGAGGCGCGAAAGCGUGGGGAGCAAACAGG